RNAcentral lists this unclassified non-coding RNA (219 nucleotides) under uncultured fungus. Its description in RNAcentral is "sequence contains ITS1, 5.8S rRNA gene". The stretch from base 171 to 219 matches the Rfam family "5.8S ribosomal RNA", at positions 1 to 49 of the family's 154-position model. The record is from RNAcentral. Lineage: Eukaryota; Fungi.
UCUCCGUUGGUGAACCAGCGGAGGGAUCAUUACAGAGUUUACAACUCCCAAACCCCUGUGAACUUACCAUGUCGUUGCCUCGGCGGUGUCUUGCUUCGGCGAGCCCGCCAGAGGACCCAACAAACUCUUGUUUUUUUAGUAUUAUCUGAGUGACAAGUUUAAUAAAUCAAAACUUUCAACAACGGAUCUCUUGGUUCUGGCAUCGAUGAAGAACGCAGC